Molecule: ribosomal RNA, 252 nt
Filed under: uncultured bacterium
Lineage: Bacteria
Description: partial 16S ribosomal RNA
Rfam family: Bacterial small subunit ribosomal RNA
Source: RNAcentral
UACGUAGGGGGCUAGCGUUAUCCGGAAUUACUGGGCGUAAAGGGUGCGUAGGUGGUUUCUUAAGUCAGAGGUGAAAGGCUACGGCUCAACCGUAGUAAGCCUUUGAAACUGGGGAACUUGAGUGCAGGAGAGGAGAAUGGAAUUCCUAGUGUAGCGGUGAAAUGCGUAGAUAUUAGGAGGAACACCAGUUGCGAAGGCGGCUCUCUGGACUGUAACUGACACUGAGGCACGAAAGCGUGGGGAGCAAACAGG